This is a long non-coding RNA of Papaver somniferum (opium poppy), 429 nucleotides long. RefSeq lists it as uncharacterized. Lineage: Eukaryota; Viridiplantae; Streptophyta; Magnoliopsida; Ranunculales; Papaveraceae. The record is from RefSeq and is a predicted model, not a curated record. The transcript has 2 exons.
AAGACCACCGGAAAAAUCCAAUUCCAAAAUUUCGAAGAAGAUGUCAAGUUUGAAGACUACUCAGCUGGUCGUGGCGCUGAGCUUAUGCUUACUUCUUCUGGGUUUCUCCUACUCUAUCGAGGCAGCUGCAAGACCAAUUACUGAUGUUGCAGAAGCAGCAGCAAAUCAACAAUGUCGGCCCGGAGAUUUUUGUGUUGAUGAUCAUGAUCCUGAGUGUUCUAAGUCAUGUCAACGAGAAGGUUUUCGUGGAGGCAAUUGUUUGUUUCCUGGUGCUUCAGCAAACCGUGAGGAGAAGAUUGAUAUUAACUAUUACAAAAUUGUAAGGUUUCCCCAUUGCUGUUGUUAUCAUUGAUGGAUCUCUAGUCUUGUCUUUGCAAUGUCCCAAAUAAAUAAUAUAGUUAAUAUUAAUAAAUGAUGGAUCCAUAAGUA